AUAUUGGACAAUGGGGGAAACCCUUAUCCAGCGACGCCGCGUGAGGGAAGAAGGUUUUCGGAUUGUAAACCUCUGUCAGUGGGGACGAAGAAAGUGACUGUACCCACAGAAUAAGCCUCGGCUAACUACGUGCCAGCAGCCGCGGUAAUACGUAGGAGGCAAGCGUUAUCCGGAAUGACUGGGCGUAAAGGGUUCGUAGGUGGUUUGGCAAGUUAGUAGCGUAAUUCCGGGGCUCAACUUCGGAACUACUACUAAAACUGCUGGGCUUGAGUGCAGGAGGGGCAUAUGGAAUUCCUAGUGUAGCGGUGGAAUGCGUAGAUAUUAGGAGGAACACCAGUGGCGAAGGCGAUAUGCUGGACUGUAACUGACACUGAGGCACGAAAGCGUGGGGAGCAAACAG
This 400-nucleotide ribosomal RNA is filed under the name uncultured bacterium. Its description in RNAcentral is "bacterial SSU rRNA". It matches the Rfam family "Bacterial small subunit ribosomal RNA", at positions 361 to 775 of the family's 1533-position model. The record is from RNAcentral.